ACGAACGCUGGCGGCGUGCUUAACACAUGCAAGUCGAACGGAAAGGCCCUGCUUUUGUGGGGUGCUCGAGUGGCGAACGGGUGAGUAACACGUGAGUAACCUGCCCUUGACUUUGGGAUAACUUCAGGAAACUGGGGCUAAUACCGGAUAGGAGCUCCUGCUGCAUGGUGGGGGGUGGAAAGUUUCGGCGGUUGGGGAUGGACUCGCGGCUUAUCAGCUUGUUGGGGGGGUAGUGGCUUACCAAGGCUUUGACGGGUAGCCGGCCUGAGAGGGUGCCCGGACACAUGGGGAGUGAGAUACGGCCCAGACCCCUGGGGGGGGCAGCAGGGGGAAAUAUUGCAAAAGGGGCGGAAGCGUGAUGCAGAAACGCCGCGUGGGGGAUGAGGGCUUUGGGGUUGUAACCCGCUUUCGCGUGUGACGAAGCGUGAGUGACGGUAAUGGAUAAAGAAGCACCGGAUAACUACG
This 465-nucleotide ribosomal RNA is filed under the name uncultured bacterium. RNAcentral describes it as "partial 16S ribosomal RNA". It matches the Rfam family "Bacterial small subunit ribosomal RNA", at positions 29 to 505 of the family's 1533-position model. The record is from RNAcentral.